This is an RNA transcript of Cucurbita moschata (crookneck pumpkin), 819 nucleotides long. It is a transcript of the gene named pentatricopeptide repeat-containing protein At2g44880-like, with no coding region annotated. The record is from RefSeq and is a predicted model, not a curated record. The transcript is spliced from 3 exons. Lineage: Eukaryota; Viridiplantae; Streptophyta; Magnoliopsida; Cucurbitales; Cucurbitaceae.
GAGAGGAAUCAACCCACCUAUCGUGGUGGGACAACUUUUUUGUUUCACUGUUCAAAAUAACUAUCCACACUUUCCAUAACCUUCCAUAGCUUGUGAGUUUACGUUCAUUCUUGAUCGGCUGUUCGACGAAAUGCCCAAGAGAAAUUCGGUUACUUGGAAUGCUCUGAUUAUUGGUUAUACUCAUAAUAGAAAGUUUAUGGAAGCUAUCAAUGCUUUCAGAGGAAUGCUGGCAGCUGGGACUGAACCGAGUGAAAGAACCGCGGUGGUAGUUCUAUUGGCUUGUUAAAGCUGGCAGCUGGGACUGAACCGAGUGAAAGAACCGCGGUGGUAGUUCUAUUGGCUUGUUCUCAUUUGGGAGCUUUAAAUCAGGGAAAGUGGAACUAUGGAUUUAUAUAUCAGAAUAAUUUGAGACUGAACGUGUUUGUGGGCACAGCACUCACUGAUAUGUAUGCUAAAUGUGGGGCUGUGAUGAGGCAAAGAAGGUCUUUGAAGAAAUUGGAGAGAAGAACAUCUGUACAUGGAAUGUCUUGAUUUCUGGAUACGUCAUGAAUGGGCAAGGCGGUGCAGCUUUGCAGGCUUUUUCUAUGAUGUUGAUGGAAAUUUUCAAGCCAGAUGAGGUUACCUUUCUAGGUGUUUUUUGUGCAUGUUGUCACCAAGGUCUGGUCACAGAUCGAGCGGGAUUGUUGGAGGAAGCUCUAGAGUUGAUCCAAUCUACGAGCAUGGAACCGAGUCUACAUUGAAAGGAUCGGUUGGAGGGACGAAAGCAGAGGUGGAAAGUUUAUAUUUUGGCUUUGUUGAUGAGAUGAUGGAAGGCAGUAG